Molecule: ribosomal RNA, 62 nt
Filed under: Novosphingobium sp. PhB165
Lineage: Bacteria; Pseudomonadati; Pseudomonadota; Alphaproteobacteria; Sphingomonadales; Sphingomonadaceae
Description: partial 23S ribosomal RNA
Source: RNAcentral
AGGCCGGGUGUGGAAGUGCGGUAACGCAUGGAGCUAACCGGUCCUAAUAACUCUGUUCAUGC